Podarcis lilfordi (Lilford's wall lizard) is the source of this 75-nucleotide non-coding RNA. The record is from the annotation of a GenBank genome assembly. NCBI's taxonomy places the organism in Eukaryota, Metazoa, Chordata, Lepidosauria, Squamata, Lacertidae.
UGGGGGAGGGGUAGCUCAGUCGGUAGAGCCUGAGACUUAAUCUCAGUGUUGUGGGUUCAAGCCCCAUGUUAGGAA